Molecule: long non-coding RNA, 1512 nt
Filed under: Linum usitatissimum (flax)
Lineage: Eukaryota; Viridiplantae; Streptophyta; Magnoliopsida; Malpighiales; Linaceae
Description: long non-coding RNA (LUSI_LNC002869)
Source: RNAcentral
UAAAUCUAAUCAAUGCCAGCUUCCUCCACUCUCGACGAAAGUGUUUCCUUGUGUUGUUCGUGGCUUGUGUGACAUAGUUGUACAUUAAGCGUCUGUGUUGUCUGAAAUUCUUGAAUUUUGUUGGGCAUGUAAAGUAUGAUUUGUUCACGUUAAUUUGAUAUCAUUCUAGGGCACUCCCAUUGUUUCUAAAGUAUAGUCUUGUUAUGAUCAUCACCUUGUGUCUUUGGCCAGUUCUGUCACUGAUAAUUCUGCACUUGGAACAGUGGAAAAAGCCACCGAUGAUGCUUGUUGCCCAACAUUGGAUUACGAGUGAGCCAAGGGAAAACAUACAACCAUUAGGUAGGAGUAUUGAUCCAAAAUAAGAGAUCAGAAAGCGACUAUCCGAAAAAAGAUGUACAGUGGUCGGGGUAACUGUCCUGCACUUUUUUUUAUCUUAAUAGCACAAAGAAUACCAACAUGCAUACCCAAACAUCCAUCUUUCAACAAGUUUGCUGGACUGCGUUGCUCCCAUCUUGCUUUUGUUCAGCUUCAUUCAUCAUAAGCUUCUGCCGUUCAUUCUCCCUGUCCGCCUCCCAAAUAGAGAAGACGAAAACAAAUUAGCAGAUUAUAGUCGAGGAACACAAUUCAAUAAUGAAACAAUCUUCAACUACAGGCAGUGCCACGAAAAUAGACAUAACAGGACUUACAAUCACUGCCAAGCAGAUAGUCCAUUAUCUAUGAACAUCAACAUGCACAAGAAGAACACAGUAGUAUAACGACCUGCAGUAGCAAAUGAAUCAGCUAAAGAAUGAUAGUUGAUUGCAACAAGAUUACUGUAUCAAAUGAACCAUUAAGGAAGAACAACACCCAUUUCCCAAUUCCGCCCAUAAGAAAAGAAAACAAUUUGACAAGUCAGAAGAGGGCACACGCUUGUUGCCAGCAUCGACAAGAAGAACCCAUCGAUUAACUCUCAACUGAAUAAACAAACCCAGCACAGCAGUUGGAAAUCAAAACAGUGAAAGAAGAUAGGAUCUUUAGGCCAUAAUCGGGAACCGAGUGAUGCAACUGAUCCGUCUUCCUUGAAGCUAGGUUUUGUGAGUCAGAAAAGGAAAGGUGAGGAAAUAAUUUCGGAACCCAGCUGAUCCAACGAUUGGCUCAGCAAUCUGAAAGAGAGAAACCAACAAACAUUCAACAGUUUGAGCCAGCUGUAUUUUAGCACAAUACCGUUUCUGGAUGAGUUGCUCCAAAUUUGGUUGAGAAUUCCUCCUCUGUCACACCUGGAAGAUGAAAAAGGAAAUGAGUGAAUCAAAAUGAAAGAUGAUCCGCUUUGGUUGUGAUGUUGUUCAUAGGAGGGUGACCUUGCCAUUGUCAGCGAAUGAAGAAUACAAAGUGAUGCAAGGAAAAAUACAAAUACUGCAGUGCCGUGAUUGAACAAGGGCUAUGGCCGUUUUAAGUACUUCCGUGUUUGCAGACGUCUAAAGGCUUUAAUUUGUUGUUCAGUGACAUGAUUAGCCACUAUAUAUAAUUCCAGCU